This is a small nuclear RNA of Chlorocebus sabaeus (green monkey), 107 nucleotides long. Lineage: Eukaryota; Metazoa; Chordata; Mammalia; Primates; Cercopithecidae. The record is from Ensembl.
GCACUCACUUUGCCGGCACAUAUACUAAAAUUGGAAUGAUAUAGAGUAGAUUAGCAUGGCCCUUGUGCAAGGCUGACAUGUAAAUUCAUUAUGCAUUCCAUAUUUUC